UGGGGAAUAUUGGACAAUGGGCGGAAGCCUGAUCCAGCCAUGCCGCGUGUGUGAAGAAGGCCUUUUGGUUGUAAAGCACUUUAAGCGAGGAGGAGGCUACUUGGAUUAAUACUCUAGGAUAGUGGACGUUACUCGCAGAAUUAGCACCGGCUAACUCUGUGCCAGCAGCCGCGGUAAUACAGAGGGUGCGAGCGUUAAUCGGAUUUACUGGGCGUAAAGCGUGCGUAGGCGGCUUCUUAAGUCGGAUGUGAAAUCCCUGAGCUUAACUUAGGAAUUGCAUUCGAUACUGGGAAGCUAGAGUAUGGGAGAGGAUGGUAGAAUUCCAGGUGUAGCGGUGAAAUGCGUAGAGAUCUGGAGGAAUACCGAUGGCGAAGGCAGCCAUCUGGCCUAAUACUGACGCUGAGGUACGAAAGCAUGGGGAGCAAACAGG
Molecule: ribosomal RNA, 430 nt
Filed under: bacterium
Lineage: Bacteria
Description: partial 16S ribosomal RNA
Rfam family: Bacterial small subunit ribosomal RNA
Source: RNAcentral